RNAcentral lists this unclassified non-coding RNA (289 nucleotides) under uncultured fungus. Its description in RNAcentral is "sequence contains ITS1". The record is from RNAcentral. Lineage: Eukaryota; Fungi.
UUUCGCUAUUUCAAAUAGAAAAAGUUCAGACUUCAUCGUUUUAAAUGCAAGAAUUUUAUGGUCCUCUGGCGGGGGCUCACCGGCCCCGGGGAGGGGACCAGCGGGGCCAUUACUAGCCGCGCCCCGCCAAAGCAACUAAGGGUACGUUCACAUAGGGUUGGGAGGUCUGGGGGCCCGAAGGCACCCCAAGCUCUCUUUAAUGAUCCUUCCGCAGGUUCCUAGGGGGCAAAAUCAGUACAAAACAUUAAAAAAAAAGGUGGGGUUUAUCGAUCACUUACACCUACGGAAA